RNAcentral lists this ribosomal RNA (468 nucleotides) under uncultured bacterium. Its description in RNAcentral is "partial 16S ribosomal RNA". It matches the Rfam family "Bacterial small subunit ribosomal RNA", at positions 28 to 507 of the family's 1533-position model. The record is from RNAcentral.
GACGAACGCUGGCGGCGUGCUUAACACAUGCAAGUCGAACGGAAAGGCCCUGCUUUUGUGGGGUGCUCGAGUGGCGAACGGGUGAGUAACACGUGAGUAACCUGCCCUUGACUUUGGGGUAACUUCAGGAAACUGGGGCUAAUACCGGAUAGGAGCUCCUGCUGCAUGGUGGGGGUUGGAAAGUUUCGGUGGUUGGGGAUGGACGCGCGGCUUAUCAGCUUGUUGGUGGGGUAGUGGCUUACCAAGGCUUUGACGGGUAGCCGGCCUGAGAGGGUGACCGGCCACAUUGGGACUGGGGUACGGCCCAGACUCCUACGGGAGGCAGCAGUGGGGAAUAUUGCACAAUGGGCGGCAGCCUGAUGCAGCAACUCCGCGUGCGGGAUGACUGCCUUCGGGUUGUAAACCGCUUUCGCCUGUGACGAAGCGUGAGUGACGGUAAUGGGUAAAGAAGCACCGGCUAACUACGUG